UCCAUACAUUUCACAAUAUCUUUAAUUAAUUCGAUUUUUUUGUCAUACUCCAUUUUCUAAAAUAUUUAUAUUAUAUUAUGUAUAUCUGUAUACAUAUUUGCAAAUUACUUGCCAAAAGAUGAAAUUAAAUUUUUUAAAUAUAUUCAAAAUAUUAAUUUCAAAAAAUAUACUCAAAUGCAACUAUGUACUACGAAAGAAAGAAGACGAAUGCCGAAAAACGUCGCAGCGAACUGCUACGAAUAAGAACACAAAGCGAGUUGCUGAACACUGGAAACUCGGCGCGAUUCUCCUCUCCUCGUCGCCUCCUCGCCUAUAAACCAAGAGUUGCCGAGACAAAAGUUGCUGCGUGUAAUAAGCGAGUUAUGCAAGUUCAUACAUAUGAAUACAUAUUUACGCACGUUGGAAGGCGAAGCUGUUACAGCGGCAAAGGAAGCAGUAACAAUCGGCGAUCGUUUGUUAGUUUCUUUCGCGUCUCGUCGCGUCAAUGCUUCGACAGAAUGAUGUGCUGAACACAUAGAACGCGACAGACUGCAAGCGCCAUCUGAAUCUGAUAUUGAAAUACACACAUUCUUAAGGACACAGUUAUUUAGACAGCUGCACAACUACAUAACUGUGUCCAUAAGAACGUGUGUAUUUUAAUAUUUGACAGAUGUCGCUUGCAGCCUGCCCCGCUCUAUGUGUUCCGGGCGUGACUCUUUGAGUUUCGGUCAUUGAUUGUCCGUGACAACGGAGAUGCGAAAGAUGCGUGCGACACUUGUUAUUAUGAAUGUAUGUACAUUGUUUUCGUAGCAUACAGACAAAUGUGCCAAAGAAAUAAUAUACAUAUGUAUGUAUGUAUAUGCCAUAGAAAUUCUAUUGAUACAAAUAUGGAAAUGAUAACGAAAUAAUGCGAAUAUGCACAUUUCAUGAAGGUCAUCAAUUUUCUUUGAAGAAAUGAAGUUCAUUUUGCACAUCUUCACUUUGUAAUAGUGGAAAUAAAUAUAAUUUAUUUGAAAUAUUACUUUAUUUAAAUAAAAAUAAAGAGAAAUAAAAUUAAAAUAAUUUUUCCUAAUUUUUCCCGUGUUUUGGACGAUGGAACAAACAUCAUAAUGAAGACUUAUGAUUUAUGGUCGAGUAGGUUCUGAAGAACUAGGAGAAAACUAUCAUACGUUGCCACUAAUCUUAGCAAGAGAUUUCAAUAUCAAUUUCGCAUCCGAAGAUGGACAACUCUUGAGAAACUUUCUACGAGAUAAAUUAGAAUUACAAAUGAAUUAUGACCGUAAUGAGCCAACUACAAGACAUGGAACAACAAUCGAUGCAGUUUUUUCUAGAUUUCUGUCUAAUUUUAAUUCUAAAAUAUAUGUAUCGUAUUUCUCGUAUCAUAAGCCUAUUGUCUCGGUUUUACAAUCAACCACAGUAAUUACUGAUGUACCCAAUAAUGAAAACAACGAAUAAAACAAUGCAAAAAAAUAAAAGAUCUAUGCAAAAAUAUUAAUUUACUAAUGAAAACAUAAAAUAAAUUUAAAUAUUUGUAGGAAAUAAAUAUAUGUAUAUGUGCAUACAUGUAUAUAUUGCACACACACAUUCAUAUAUAUAGUACAAUCGUGCUUUCACAGACACUUGUCGCGACAUGUUGGUGUGAGGUGUCUGGCACUGUCCGUGCGCUAUUGUGCGCAUAGGCCGUGGACAACGCUGAUAUAGAUAGAGAGAAAGAAGUUUUACUUCAGUCGUGCGGUCAUAAGCACACUCUCUUUUUAAACGUGCAGUUACAAAAUUUUGUAAAAAUGUCACAAGUUUGCUUUAUUUGCAAUGAAUCUUUGACUGAAAGUGAAAUUGUGGUUGUUGAUCGUGGGCUAAAGGCUUUAAUAGAUUCAAGUACCGAGAGGCGUGAUGGGUUUGAUGAAUAUUAGAAGGACAAAACAUCUGUAACGAUACAUAAGCAGUGUCGUAAUGCAUACACCCGGAAGAGCAGCAUCGCCAGUCGCACUAUUUUUCUUUAAUUAUUAUGUUUGUAUAUCCACUAACCUUGUCGUAUUAAAGUAAAUGAAAACUCUCAACAACAAA
Bactrocera dorsalis (oriental fruit fly) is the source of this 2043-nucleotide long non-coding RNA. RefSeq lists it as uncharacterized. NCBI's taxonomy places the organism in Eukaryota, Metazoa, Arthropoda, Insecta, Diptera, Tephritidae. The transcript has 2 exons. The record is from RefSeq and is a predicted model, not a curated record.